AGUGGCGGACGGGUGAGUAACGCGUGGGUAACCUGCCUCAUACAGGGGGAUAACAGUUAGAAAUGACUGCUAAUACCGCAUAAGCGCACAGUACCGCAUGGUACGGUGUGAAAAACUCCGGUGGUAUGAGAUGGACCCGCGUCUGAUUAGGUAGUUGGUGGGGUAACGGCCUACCAAGCCGACGAUCAGUAGCCGACCUGAGAGGGUGACCGGCCACAUUGGGACUGAGACACGGUCCAA
Molecule: ribosomal RNA, 240 nt
Filed under: uncultured bacterium
Lineage: Bacteria
Description: partial 16S ribosomal RNA
Rfam family: Bacterial small subunit ribosomal RNA
Source: RNAcentral